UACGUAGGGUGCGAGCGUUAAUCGGAAUUACUGGGCGUAAAGCGUGCGCAGGCGGUGAUGUAAGACAGAUGUGAAAUCCCCGGGCUCAACCUGGGAACUGCAUUUGUGACUGCAUCGCUGGAGUGCGGCAGAGGGGGGAUGGAAUUCCGCGUGUAGCAGUGAAAUGCGUAGAUAUGCGGAGGAACACCGAUGGCGAAGGCAAUCCCCUGGGCCUGCACUGACGCUCAUGCACGAAAGCGUGGGGAGCGAAACAGG
This 255-nucleotide ribosomal RNA is filed under the name uncultured bacterium. RNAcentral's name for it is "partial 16S ribosomal RNA". It matches the Rfam family "Bacterial small subunit ribosomal RNA", at positions 524 to 776 of the family's 1533-position model. The record is from RNAcentral.